This 450-nucleotide ribosomal RNA is filed under the name uncultured bacterium. Its description in RNAcentral is "partial 16S ribosomal RNA". It matches the Rfam family "Bacterial small subunit ribosomal RNA", at positions 354 to 796 of the family's 1533-position model. The record is from RNAcentral.
GUGGGGAAUUUUGGACAAUGGGCGCAAGCCUGAUCCAGCAAUGCCGCGUGCAGGAAGAAGGCCUUCGGGUUGUAAACUGCUUUUGUACGGAACGAAACGGUCCUGGCUAAUAUCCGGGGCUAAUGACGGUACCGUAAGAAUAAGCACCGGCUAACUACGUGCCAGCAGCCGCGGUAAUACGUAGGGUGCAAGCGUUAAUCGGAAUUACUGGGCGUAAAGCGUGCGCAGGCGGUUUUGUAAGACAGACGUGAAAUCCCCGGGCUCAACCUGGGAAUGGCGUUUGUGACUGCAAAGCUGGAGUGCGGCAGAGGGGGAUGGAAUUCCGCGUGUAGCAGUGAAAUGCGUAGAUAUGCGGAGGAACACCGAUGGCGAAGGCAAUCCCCUGGGCCUGCACUGACGCUCAUGCACGAAAGCGUGGGGAGCAAACAGGAUUAGAAACCCGAGUAGUCC